This 209-nucleotide unclassified non-coding RNA is filed under the name Bombus terrestris (buff-tailed bumblebee). Its description in RNAcentral is "misc RNA ENSBTSG00005019797.1". Lineage: Eukaryota; Metazoa; Arthropoda; Insecta; Hymenoptera; Apidae. The record is from RNAcentral.
AGGGUAGCAGGUCAUCCAAUAAAAAUAAAAGUAAAAAGAGAAGCAAAGAAAAUCUUUGACGUUGACAAUAGCCAUAAUCAAGCCAACUGUGAACACAAUUAAACUGCUGCAGAGAGUAACACAAUCAUAGAAACGUGGAUCGUUGGCAUGGUACAUAACUUUGAUGAUAGAGAGUGAAACGUGCACUUGUAAACAGGAUAUUUACCCAC